UUUAACAGGUAGAUAUGGGAGUCUGU
Molecule: non-coding RNA, 26 nt
Filed under: Mus musculus (house mouse)
Lineage: Eukaryota; Metazoa; Chordata; Mammalia; Rodentia; Muridae
Source: RNAcentral